UGACAACUGACCCCAAAGAAAGACUGGGGCAGACUAGAAUUAACAUGAUACUUUACUACAUUAUCUGCUCACCUCUUACUUUUUCUUGCUUCUUUCCUGAGGGAGAAGAGUAUAUAAAUAAUUAUAAACAUAAGGCCAUAGAAACCAGAUACGGAAACUGA
Molecule: long non-coding RNA, 161 nt
Filed under: Mustela putorius furo (domestic ferret)
Lineage: Eukaryota; Metazoa; Chordata; Mammalia; Carnivora; Mustelidae
Description: lncRNA (ENSMPUG00000031649.1)
Source: RNAcentral